Molecule: ribosomal RNA, 253 nt
Filed under: uncultured bacterium
Lineage: Bacteria
Description: partial 16S ribosomal RNA
Rfam family: Bacterial small subunit ribosomal RNA
Source: RNAcentral
UACGUAGGUGACAAGCGUUGUCCGGAUUUACUGGGCGUAAAGAGCGCGCAGGCGGUCGAUCAAGUCGAGUGUGAAAGCCCCCGGCCCAACUGGGGAGGGUCAUUCGAUACUGAUCGACUCGAAGGCAGGAGAGGGUAGUGGAAUUCCCGGUGUAGUGGUGAAAUGCGUAGAUAUCGGGAGGAACACCAGUGGCGAAGGCGACUACCUGGCCUGUUCUUGACGCUGAGGCGCGAAAGCUAGGGGAGCAAACGGG